GACGAACGCUGGCGGCGUGCUUAACACAUGCAAGUCGAGCGAGGCCCCCCCUUCGGGCGGGUGUCCUAGCGGUGAACGGGUGAGUAACACGUUUGCAACCUGCCUACAGCUCUGGGAUAACUCGGGGAAACCGGGGCUAAUACCGGAUACGACCUCCACGGGCAUCGGCGGAGGUGGAAAGGUGUUCGGCUGGGGAUGGGAUCGCGGCCUAUCAACUCGUUGGUGGGGUAGUGGCCUACCAAGGCGACGACCGGUAGCCGGGCUGAGAGGGGGGCCGGCCACACCGGGACUGGACUGCGGCACAGACCAGUACGGGAGGCGACAGUGGGGAGUAUUACGUAAGGGGCGGGAGCCAGACGUAGCGACGCCACGUGGGGGAAGAAGGCAAUCGGGUAGUAAACCAAUUUCAGCAGAGACGAAGCGAAAGUGACGGUACCUGCAGAAGAAGCACCGGCCAACUACGUG
Molecule: ribosomal RNA, 465 nt
Filed under: uncultured bacterium
Lineage: Bacteria
Description: partial 16S ribosomal RNA
Rfam family: Bacterial small subunit ribosomal RNA
Source: RNAcentral